Molecule: ribosomal RNA, 497 nt
Filed under: uncultured bacterium
Lineage: Bacteria
Description: partial 16S ribosomal RNA
Rfam family: Bacterial small subunit ribosomal RNA
Source: RNAcentral
GAUGAACGCUGGCGGCGUGCCUAAUACAUGCCAGUCGAGCGAACAGACGAGGAGCUUGCUCCUCUGACGUUAGCGGCAGACGGGUGAGUAACACGUGGAUAACCUACCUAUAAGGCUGGGAUAACUUCGGGAAACCGGAGCUAAUACCGGAUAAUAUAUUGAACCGCAUGGUUCAAUAGUGAAAGACGGUUUUGCUGUCACUUAUAGAUGGAUCCGCGCCGCAUUAGCUAGUUGGUAAGGUAACGGCUUACCAAGGCAACGAUGCGUAGCCGACCUGAGAGGGUGAUCGGCCACACUGGAACUGAGACACGGUCCAGACUCCUACGGGAGGCAGCAGUAGGGAAUCUUCCGCAAUGGGCGAAAGCCUGACGGAGCAACGCCGCGUGAGUGAUGAAGGUCUUCGGAUCGUAAAACUCUGUUAUUAGGGAAGAACAAAUGUGUAAGUAACUAUGCACGUCUUGACGGUACCUAAUCAGAAAGCCACGGCUAACUACGUG